CACACACACAUCUGGCUCGGAUCCUUUGACUCUAUGGAGAACACGGUUGGAGUUCUCACCCUCCAUGGCCACAAGGCCAAAAUCUAUGUGCCCCAGACUCUAUGUUAGUGGCAAUGUUGUAAUCGCUUUUUCCUAAUGAUUUUGCCCUAACUGAGAUCAUUGUGCCCAUCUCCUUAUAUACCCAGUCACUUGAGAACUCUUCCACCAACUCAGUCUGAAUCGUAAGCAUGUAAAGCUCUUGGUUUCUUGAGGAACAGCCAAUGUUUGAACCGCUUCCAUUGCCCUCGCCUCCGGCCUAACUUGUUGCUUCUUUGUAUUGUUGUCAAGGGAGAAGAUACUUGAAAUUUUUGAGAGAAUGAUGGAAGAGAGAAAGAGAAUUAAUAUGAGAUUGAAGAUCAGUAGUAAAAGCUAUGCAAAUGCACGAGAACAAAAGUAAGAUAAACUUUAGCAGGAAAAUAAAGAAUUUGGAUAAUGGCCAUGUUGAGCUCAAAGAGCUCAAGGGUGCCAUAUUUCUGACUGACACUUCUUUUAGCACAACCACCACUCUAUGCGAUAGAUUCAACCUAUGUGCCAUUUCAUCCUAUGCAAGUGAGUGGAUAACAAGUUACAAGAUAUUUUGAGCCAGAUCCUAUGAUUGCAACAUCCAUGAGUGAGCUAGAAUCAUGUGAGAAGUUUCAUAUGGAGGCAUUGACAAGAAUCACAAUAGAAAGGUUAUGAUUUCUCUGUCGAAGAUUGUUAAUGUCAAUUUAGUGACUAUGACAGAGAACCACCAGAGAUACAUCCAGAUUGUCAUAGUUGAUGCGCAUGAGGUCUGGUUCAUGGUUUUGUGAGUUAUGACAAAGUUGCAACACACCUCUUGGAUGUUGUU
Molecule: long non-coding RNA, 868 nt
Organism: Dioscorea cayenensis subsp. rotundata (Guinea yam)
Lineage: Eukaryota; Viridiplantae; Streptophyta; Magnoliopsida; Dioscoreales; Dioscoreaceae
Exons: 6
Source: RefSeq, a predicted model, not a curated record